AGAACGAACGCUGGCGGCAUGCCUAAUACAUGCAAGUCGAACGAAGGCUUCGGCCUUAGUGGCGCACGGGUGCGUAACGCGUGGGAAUCUGCCCCUUGGUUCGGAAUAACAGUUGGAAACGACUGCUAAUACCGGAUGAUGACGAAAGUCCAAAGAUUUAUCGGCCAAGGGAUGAGCCCGCGUAGGAUUAGCUAGUUGGUGAGGUAAAGGCUCA
This 214-nucleotide ribosomal RNA is filed under the name uncultured soil bacterium. Its description in RNAcentral is "partial 16S ribosomal RNA". It matches the Rfam family "Bacterial small subunit ribosomal RNA", at positions 26 to 267 of the family's 1533-position model. The record is from RNAcentral.